Molecule: unclassified non-coding RNA, 200 nt
Filed under: Arachnomyces sp.
Lineage: Eukaryota; Fungi; Ascomycota; Eurotiomycetes; Onygenales; Arachnomycetaceae
Description: partial internal transcribed spacer 2
Source: RNAcentral
UUAAGUUCAGCGGGUAUCCCUGCCUGAUCCGAGGUCAACCGGUUAAAGUUGGGGGUGGUUUGGUCGGCUGGCCUCCGGCCGGGCCUCCAGAGCGGGUGACAAAGCCCCAUACGCUCGAGGACCGGGCACGGCGCCGCCGCUGCCUUUCGGGCCCGUCCACCCCUGGACCGGGGGGGACGAGGCCCAACACGCAAGCCGGG